Molecule: long non-coding RNA, 2460 nt
Organism: Lactuca sativa (garden lettuce)
Lineage: Eukaryota; Viridiplantae; Streptophyta; Magnoliopsida; Asterales; Asteraceae
Source: RefSeq, a predicted model, not a curated record
UAGGAGCCUCAUUUAAAUUGGAGAAAGAAACCAAAACCCCGCUUCCAGAAUUCAUCUUUCUCCAUCCAUCUCUGGCUUUUUGAGUUUACAUCCUCCGCCUUUGACCACACUCUUUUGUAUCACUUCUGCAUAUAUUUCUCAUUGAGUUCGAUAAGUCAUAGCCAGAGCACAACCAACGUAUCCCCGCACCACCACCAAGCCACCCCACAAUACCGUUGAAUAAGUAUUCCCUCACGUGUAGCCAAUUGAUUCGGUCAAACAUGAGAUACACGUUAUAUAAAAGCAUCUCCUCUCCCAGUCAGUCAAAACCCUAAAAUUCUAAACUCUCUCAAAUGGAAACCAACGCAUCUUCACCACUGUCACCCCUGAUGCUUCCAACCCACGAUUUCGAUUUUAGGGUUUUUUUUGUUUUAAAAAGAUAAAUGAUUUAGUUAGCAGAGGGAACCAACCUCAAAAGUUUGAACCAUAUCCAGUGAGAUUUCAUUUCUUGAUGUAAUUUAAGAGAUUUGGAGGAAGGAAGCUAUGAUAACCAACCAACCAACUUCGAGAAGUUACAUUUGUAAUCAUUUUCUUUUCCUUCUAUUAAAGUGGGUUGCCUUUGUAUUUGUAUCCACAUUGUCUAGCUUGAAUCUGCUACCCAAGAACUGUGAUGAUGUUAUUAAAGUUCAAUGGAGAUCCCUCAUAAUGAAAGGAAUAUAGCACACUUACAUGUAGUAUAAAAGAGUUUGAUGGUGGUUAAUCGGGGAUGCCAAUGCCUAUGAUGAUUAAGGCAUCGACAAGUACCUGCUUAGAAGCUUCUUAUGGAAUGAUAGGAUCACUAGAUGACUACUGGUUUUUUGUUCUUUUAAAAUUUUGAUGCAUAUGAUUAUUAAGGCAUUAAUAAGUAUUUGGUUACUGACCUUUUUUUAUUUCUAAUUGUAGCAUUUUAUCACAAAUUUCAUUGACUUUCAACUGGCUUGUCGUGGAAGGCUUAUUCAAAUUACAAUGCUUUGUUUUCAAAUGAACAUUAAAAUACAAUGUUUAUUAACAGACUUCACCCACAUAUGUUACAAAAACUUCACUAUCUUCAUCAAUUACAACUAAAAAUUAGCAAUGACUUAACUGAUAACAAACUACAUGUCAUUUUCUUAUUUUUGUAAAACUUUUAUUUUUAAUUUUCCUCUUCUUAUUAGCAUUGCACUUUGAAAGUACAAUGCUAUAAUUGGGAUGUGUAUUUCUAUAUUUUAAUAUUAUCGUAUUAAUGUUCCUCUUCUUAUUAGCAUUGCACUUUUAGAACAUGCAUUCACCAUUGAAAAUUGAAUUUCCAUGUAUGAGCGUCAUCUUGAGGUAUGAAACAUAUUUGGUCAAAAGUUUCAAAACUUUCUUUGAAAAUAUACAAGAGACUACUAAAGGGACUCGGUAAGCCCACUUGAUAGACAUAUAUUCAUAACCCUCCAGGUACAAAAGUUGAACAAUUACCCCACUAAUGAAAUUGUUCAUGUUAAGUAGUUUCUUAUUUAUUGUUGGUUCAUUCGUUAAGGCUUUAAAAUGGCCGUUUAAUAUGACCCGGAGAAGUGGAUCGGACCAAAAAAUAACUGAAACCGGUCUCGGACCGAACCAGAAGUUCCUAUAACUAGGCCGGUUCUUAGUUCCAAUGUUUUGCAUGUUUCGUUUUCGGAUAAGAAGCAGACCAGAACCGGACCCAAGAAGCAUGAAUAAAACCGGACCGGACCAAUAUAUGAAAAGUCUUUUUUUAUCGACAUGUUUCUAUAUGCCCAUCUCAUUCUUACCGCAUUUUGUUUUUCACUCAAGCCUUCUAUCGUGGCUCAAUCUAUUCAAAAGAUGUCAUAGUGGCAUAAUGUAUCACUUUUUUGCAAUAUGGUUAUUCCGUUUCUAAUACAAGCAUGUGGCAGUGGCACAAUUCGAUUGAAAAUGAAUGCAACAAUCAUCUAUUCAUCCAAUGAAACAAAAAAAAAUCUAAUAUAAACCAAAAGGGUUAGGCAUAUUAACUAAAACUACAAAAAUACAUAUGUAAUUUUACAACUAGCAGUUGAUAUUGAUUAUUGUUAUUAGACCAACUCAUCAAGCAUUGAAUCUAUAAAACUUAGGUGAUAAUGUCUUAAAAAGUAUAAUUUCAACAUUACUCCCUGAGAUUUUCAUAAAAAAUUGAUUUAUUAGUUUUAGCUUCGAAAUUAUUAUAUAAAGUAGUCUAAGUUUGUAAGAAGGAAAUAUCAUCAUCAGACAAAUAUUAGAGGAUUACGUUUAAGUCCCUAGACUUUAUUCAUUGUACGAGAUAGAAAUGUAAUAGGCUGCUAAAUCCGGUUCUAGACCCUGGAACUGAAACCGGUCUGGAACUGAUAUCCCUAAUCUGGUCCGGUUUUUAAUUUACAUUUUCAAGCUUUUCCGGUUUUUGGUUAGGGUGGGGUCCGGCCCGUUGCUCAUCCCUACUUUAAUCUAUUUUUUUGUCUAUGUUGGCCGUGU